This 1809-nucleotide long non-coding RNA is filed under the name Mus musculus (house mouse). Its description in RNAcentral is "long non-coding RNA chr8:108749819-108751628". The record is from RNAcentral. Lineage: Eukaryota; Metazoa; Chordata; Mammalia; Rodentia; Muridae.
UAAUGGGAAGGCCUUGACUUAGGCUGCUUGUCUCUAGCCAGUGUGUGAGGGUGGAGACUAGCGGCCUGCAAUGAGGUAAUGCCCUUUGUAUUUUGAGAAGCUCUAAAUCCCCAAGCUUGGCUACUUCUCCCUUAUCUUUGCAUAAAGCAUUAUAGAUUUUAAGUAAUAUAUGAUUACAUUUUCUAUUUUUCCCAUAUUCAAGCUAGUGUGCUCAUUUUUCAUCCAUAUGGAAUGAAUUUUUUUUUUAAGUGGAUGAGGCGUUAAAUAACCACACCUCACUAACAGUGUUCCCAAGAGUGCAUAACUUGGUAGUGUUUGCAGUUCUGUAGAAUGUAAUAAUCUGUCGUGUGCAGGCGUGUGGAUUUCUGUUUACUGGCAUCCUUCAUUAGAGGGUAACAUAAUAUACAGAAUUUCCCAGUUGCAGAAAUUAGAAGUAGGAAGCAGCUUCCUUCAACAGAAACUGGAAAACUGAUUUAUGGACUUCACUUUUCUUCUCUCUCUCCAACUUGAGAAAGUGACAGAGUCCUCGAGAGGAAGGAAAGGAGUUGAUGUGGCAGAAGACCUUUUAUCACAGGUUAAUUCAAUUAAUUUGGGAUCGCCAUUCACACGGAGCAAUAAUGGGGUCCGCAGCCGCAGAGAUGCACAGCAGCACUUGAGAAGAUAGGAGAGGGUGGGAAAAACUGAGACUGUCUUCUCCACUUCACCCUGUGAAUUGGGAGUUUUCAGAAUAGCAGCCUGACUGAAUACCAGUGAACUCAUAAGGUUGAUUUUUCGCCCCCAGUUUUCCCCAAGAUCUUACUUUUUUUUUUUUCCAAACUUGGAAAUCGUACAAAUUACAGAAUUAAGAGGUUAUUUAUUUAUUUAUUUAUUUACUUCUUUUUAUCUGCCUUUUCUCUUCUCAGGCCAUAGCUAUAACAUCAUAGGGCCAAGCCUUGCUCAGGGAACCAGAACUCCGACUUUCACUUAAAGUAUGGGCACUGAUUGGGUAAUAUAUUUGGAAUUUCUGUGGUUUUAUUUCCAUUGAGGGACAGUGUGCUUAUUAAUUAAUGAAAAGGGGCUGGGGGUGAGUUCCGUGGAUAAGAGUGCUGGCUUAGCAUGCAGGAAGCCCUGGGCUUGAUCCCUCCUAUUACAUAAACUGGCAAUGGUGGCCCAGGCCUGUGACCUCAGCACUUGGGGCGUGGCCAGAGACACAGAAGUUGUCAUCCUCAGCCACGUAAAAGCUUUCCAGAUCAGCCUGGCCUGCACCAGACUCUUAGACAAACUAGAAUUGACAUGUUCCCCUGUUCACGAGUAAAGCAUGCUGUACUACGGUCACGAGGAAGACCUCAGCGUUCAGAGAACCAAGGUGUAGCGGUCACUGCCAAGUUUGCGUUUAGGGGACACAUUUGUAGUUUGAAGCCCGUCCGUUAUUAAAUGGGGGGUAGUGAGAAUAAAUGGAUUUAACUUUCAGUUUAGAGUUGGGAAGAAUAAGUAAGAAAAGAUGUAUUGAGAAAGAAUACUAGGAAACAAGUGGACUUAAUGGGCCAGGCCAAUCGAAACAUUUGAAUUGAUAAAUCUAAGAGCUACCUAUUUGGGGGGAGAAAGAAAAAGAAAUGGGCCAAGUCAUUAUGGCGUCUAAGUAAGAAAAGAGCUAAAACCAAGUUGGCAUUGUGGAAAUGGAGUAGCAUUCUACCUUGUAUUUGAAAUGAAAUCUUUUUUUUUUUUUUGUGAGAUAAAAUACAGUCAUUUAAAAUACAAAUGUGAAAAAUCCCAGGGAGGAGACUAUUUUAGGGAAAUGACUCAGACAUCUAAAAAUUUAAACCAAGAACU